UGCGGGGGGAGCAAGCGUUGUUCGGAUUUACUGGGCGUAAAGGGCGCGUAGGCGGCCAGCACAAGUCAGUUGUGGAAUCUCCGGGCUUAACUCGGAAAGGUCAACUGAUACUGUGCGGCUAGAGUGCGGAAGGGGCAACUGGAAUUCUCGGUGUAGCGGUGAAAUGCGUAGAUAUCGAGAGGAACACCUGCGGCGAAGGCGGGUUGCUGGGCCGACACUGACGCUGAUGCGCGAAAGCGUGGGGAGCGAACAGG
RNAcentral lists this ribosomal RNA (254 nucleotides) under uncultured bacterium. RNAcentral describes it as "partial 16S ribosomal RNA". It matches the Rfam family "Bacterial small subunit ribosomal RNA", at positions 524 to 776 of the family's 1533-position model. The record is from RNAcentral.